This 159-nucleotide ribosomal RNA is filed under the name Trichotylenchus changlingensis. RNAcentral describes it as "5.8S ribosomal RNA". It matches the Rfam family "5.8S ribosomal RNA". From Rfam's summary of the family: 5.8S ribosomal RNA (5.8S rRNA) is a component of the large subunit of the eukaryotic ribosome. It is transcribed by RNA polymerase I as part of the 45S precursor that also contains 18S and 28S rRNA. Functionally, it is thought that 5.8S rRNA may be involved in ribosome translocation. Lineage: Eukaryota; Metazoa; Nematoda; Chromadorea; Rhabditida; Telotylenchidae. The record is from RNAcentral.
AAAUUCUAGUCUUAUCGGUGGAUCACUCGGCUCGUAGGUCGAUGAAGAACGCAGCCAACUGCGAUAAUUAGUGUGAACUGCAGAAACCUUGAACACAAAACUUUCGAAUGCACAUUGCGCCAUUGGAUUUUUCCUCUGGCACGCCUGGUUCAGGGUCGU